This 1532-nucleotide ribosomal RNA is filed under the name Porphyromonadaceae bacterium COT-184 OH4590. RNAcentral's name for it is "bacterial SSU rRNA". It matches the Rfam family "Bacterial small subunit ribosomal RNA". Lineage: Bacteria; Pseudomonadati; Bacteroidota; Bacteroidia; Bacteroidales; Porphyromonadaceae. The record is from RNAcentral.
ACAAUGAAGAGUUUGAUCCUGGCUCAGGAUGAACGCUAGCGACAGGCUUAACACAUGCAAGUCGAGGGGCAUCACGAAUUAGCAAUAGUUUGGUGGCGACCGGCGCACGGGUGCGUAACACGUAUACAACCUACCUUUAAUAGAGGGAUAACCUGGAGAAAUUCGGACUAAUACCUCAUAGUAAGAUAUUUAGGCAUCUGGAUAUUUUUAAAGAUUUAUCGAUUAGAGAUGGGUAUGCGUAGGAUUAGCUAGUUGGUAAGGUAACGGCUUACCAAGGCUACGAUCCUUAGGGGUUCUGAGAGGAAGGUCCCCCACACUGGUACUGAGACACGGACCAGACUCCUACGGGAGGCAGCAGUGAGGAAUAUUGGUCAAUGGGCGAGAGCCUGAACCAGCCAAGUCGCGUGAAGGAAGACAGCCUUAUGGGUUGUAAACUUCUUUUGUACAGGGGUAAAAGGUUCUACGAGUAGGGUUUUGCAAGUACUGUACGAAUAAGCAUCGGCUAACUCCGUGCCAGCAGCCGCGGUAAUACGGAGGAUGCAAGCGUUAUCCGGAUUUAUUGGGUUUAAAGGGUGCGCAGGCGGUAUUACAAGUCAGGGGUGAAAUCUUGGUGCUUAACAUUAAAAUUGCCUUUGAAACUGUGGUACUUGAGUGUAAAAGAGGUAGGCGGAAUGUGUUGUGUAGCGGUGAAAUGCAUAGAUAUAACACAGAACCCCGAUUGCGAAGGCAGCUUACUAUAAUACAACUGACGCUCAUGCACGAAAGCGUGGGGAUCAAACAGGAUUAGAUACCCUGGUAGUCCACGCAGUAAACGAUGAUUACUAGCUGUUAGCGAUAUACUGUUAGUGGCUAAGCGAAAGCGAUAAGUAAUCCACCUGGGGAGUACGUUCGCAAGAAUGAAACUCAAAGGAAUUGACGGGGGCCCGCACAAGCGGAGGAACAUGUGGUUUAAUUCGAUGAUACGCGAGGAACCUUACCCGGGCUUGAAAUGCAGAUGACAGGCGAAGAGAUUUGCUUUCCCUUCGGGGCAUCUGUGUAGGUGCUGCAUGGUUGUCGUCAGCUCGUGCCGUGAGGUGUCGGCUUAAGUGCCAUAACGAGCGCAACCCUUGCCAAUAGUUGCCAGCAGUUAGAUGGGGACUCUAUUGGGACUGCCACCGUAAGGUGAGAGGAAGGUGGGGAUGACGUCAAAUCAGCACGGCCCUUACGUCCGGGGCGACACACGUGUUACAAUGGGGGGUACAGAGGGUUGCUACACUGCGAGGUGAUGCUAAUCCCCUAAAACCCUUCUCAGUUCGGAUUGGAGUCUGCAACUCGACUCCAUGAAGCUGGAUUCGCUAGUAAUCGCGCAUCAGCCAUGGCGCGGUGAAUACGUUCCCGGGCCUUGUACACACCGCCCGUCAAGCCAUGGGAGUUGGGGGGACCUGAAGUACGUGACCGUAAGGAGCGUCCUAGGGUAAAACCGAUGACUGGGGCUAAGUCGUAACAAGGUAGCCGUACCGGAAGGUGCGGCUGGAACACCUCCUUUUUAGAGA